CAGUAGGGAAUCUUCGGCAAUGGGGGCAACCCUGACCGAGCAACGCCGCGUGAGUGAAGAAGGUUUUCGGAUCGUAAAGCUCUGUUGUAAGAGAAGAACGUGUGUGAGAGUGGAAAGUUCACACAGUGACGGUAACUUACCAGAAAGGGACGGCUAACUACGUGUCAG
RNAcentral lists this ribosomal RNA (168 nucleotides) under uncultured bacterium. RNAcentral's name for it is "partial 16S rRNA". It matches the Rfam family "Bacterial small subunit ribosomal RNA", at positions 352 to 511 of the family's 1533-position model. The record is from RNAcentral.